CGGAUUGGAGUCUGCAACUCGACUCCAUGAAGCUGGAUUCGCUAGUAAUCGCGCAUCAGCCAUGGCGCGGUGAAUACGUUCCCGGGCCUUGUACACGCCGCCCGUCAAGCCAUGGGAGUCGGGAGUGCCUGAAGUUCGUGACCGUAUAGGAGCGACCUAGGGCAAGACUGAUGACUGGGGCUAAGUCGUAACAAGGUAUC
This 200-nucleotide ribosomal RNA is filed under the name uncultured bacterium. Its description in RNAcentral is "partial 16S ribosomal RNA". It matches the Rfam family "Bacterial small subunit ribosomal RNA", at positions 1294 to 1500 of the family's 1533-position model. The record is from RNAcentral.